Trachemys scripta elegans is the source of this 1470-nucleotide long non-coding RNA. RefSeq lists it as uncharacterized. The record is from RefSeq and is a predicted model, not a curated record. The transcript has 4 exons. NCBI's taxonomy places the organism in Eukaryota, Metazoa, Chordata, Testudines, Emydidae.
GGACGUGCGGCCCAGCAGGGCCAGAGACUGAGUGUGGAACAGCGCUGCGUCUUGGCGCCUCGAACCCGUGCGAUGUGUGAACAUUGUUUUAACAGGGGUUGACCGCGCUCGUGCUGACCUCCAGAGGCGCCUGUUUUAGCUCAAACGGUUCAACGUUCAUCCAGAUACCAUGCCGUGAAGUGGAGGGAGUUCAGACUAGGACGUCGGACUCUGCUGUGUCCUGGAUCAAGAAGUUUGGGAAGGAUAAGAUAUUGAUGGGUGACGAGCGACAUCUAAAAGAGUUUGGGAAGCCAAAACUGCCUGAGCUAUCUAAGAAUGAGAAUGACCACUGCUCUGUCCUGCUGGACCUUCCUCAGAACUUGAUGUUACAGUAGAAUGGAAGGAAGACCCUUGGAAGACCUCAUUGGGAUGACUCCAGCAGGAACCACCCACUCGUCUCGAUGGCCACCUGUUGAGAGAUCCACCCAACUCUAUGAAAUCUUUGCCUACGUGAGUAUGGAUGUGGGACUGGCCAGUGCAUGGAUUCUCUCAGGUUGCGUAAAUUGGACACGGUAGCGGCUGAAGAACUCUUGAUACGUCCACCUGUACCAAGAAACAGAAAGGGUGUUAGCCAUAUAAUGGAAACCUCUCUCAAUGAAAAUGCCUCUUCUGAAAACAAUCUGAAAAAUGGCAAACCUACCUUGAGGGGAAGCCAGCUGCGCUGAUCCGGAUAGUUUCCAGAACACCACAAGCUCUGAGCUGCUGAACUGCCCGCUUUUCAUCAAACCUAUAUAAGAAAACAAAACAUCUGUCAAAUGGCAGACUUUCUAAGUGAAGCUCUAGCCAAGUUUUGUAUGAGAACCUAAGUUCAGAAAUGGUGACAACGUUAGAAAUGCAAACUAGUAGAUUUCAGUCAAAGAAGUUGUCAUGAGUACAGAUUCCUUAGGAGCACAAGUUUUGAAUCAAAUUCAAAAUGGAAAAUCAUGAAAUUGUGGGUAUCCUUCUCAGACAGCAUAAAGGAGAAAUACAAAGCAGUCAGCUAAUCAUUUUCUCUCCAUCUAGCCCCAAACAGCUGUUAUUAUUAUGUUUAUUCCGACGCUUUCAAGACACACUAUUCUACUCCUGAGCUAUGUGUACUAUGUUCUCAGAGACCAUUUAUGAACCAACGUACGUGAAUGGAAACUUGAAGUCAUUGGGCUUAAUACAACGCACGUAGUGUGGAGUUGUAGCAUUAAGGGUUUCCAUCAGCAGAUGAAGAGAGUUCCGAAACUGUAAAAAAAAAAAAAAAAAAAAAGAGAGAAGGGAAAUCAGAAUACGAUGAAACUCAGUCUUGUUUGAAAUGAUCUCAAAUGGGGACUUUUUGUAUUAGAUAAAAGAGGUUGUCUAGAAAAAUCCAACAUAAAGCCAAAUUUCAAUAGAGCAGUUUGGUUAUGUGUUGCCCCAGUGUAUGCAUCCAUACUAUAAAUUCUGGUGGUUCUUGGAAGCAAUUCA